Grammomys surdaster is the source of this 107-nucleotide small nuclear RNA. NCBI's taxonomy places the organism in Eukaryota, Metazoa, Chordata, Mammalia, Rodentia, Muridae. The record is from RefSeq and is a predicted model, not a curated record.
GUGCUUGCCUCGGUAGCACAUGUACUAAGGUUGUAACAAUACAGAGAAAAUUAGCAUGGUCCCUACAGAGGGGUGACGGGCAGGUCUGAGGAGUGUUCCACAAAUAG